Molecule: ribosomal RNA, 642 nt
Filed under: uncultured Nitrososphaerota archaeon
Lineage: Archaea; Thermoproteati; Nitrososphaerota
Description: bacterial SSU rRNA
Rfam family: Archaeal small subunit ribosomal RNA
Source: RNAcentral
UGCGUGGCAUACGGCUCAGUAACACGUAGUCAACAUGCCCAGGGGACGUGGAUAACCUCGGGAAACUGAGGAUAAACCACGAUAGGCCAAGAUUUCUGGAAUGAAUCAUGGCUGAAAUCUACAUGGCCCCUGGAUUGGACUGCGGCCGAUCAGGCUGUUGGUGAGGUAAUGGCCCACCAAACCUAUAACCGGUACGGGCUCUGAGAGGAGGAGCCCGGAGAUGGGCACUGAGACAAGGGCCCAGGCCCUAUGGGGCGCAGCAGGCGCGAAACCUCUGCAAUAGGCGAAAGCUUGACAGGGUUACUCUGAGUGAUGCCCGUUAAGGGCAUCUUUUGGCACCUCUAAAAAUGGUGUAGAAUAAGGGGUGGGCAAGUCUGGUGUCAGCCGCCGCGGUAAUACCAGCACCCCGAGUGGUCGGGACGAUUAUUGGGCCUAAAGCAUCCGUAGCCGGUUCUGCAAGUCUUCCGUUAAAUCCACCUGCUCAACAGAUGGGCUGCGGGGGAUACUACAGGGCUAGGAGGCGGGAGAGGCAAGCGGUACUCGGUGGGUAGGGGUAAAAUCCUCUGAUCCACUGAAGACCACCAGUGGCGAAGGCGGCUUGCCAGAACGCGCUCGACGGUGAGAGAUGAAAGCUGGGGGAGC